UUUUUAAUCUCUCUUUUCAACUUCUCUUACCAAUCUCUUUUCAACUUCUCUCUCACCUAUUUCUCUCUUUCCUACAUCUAUUCUACCAAACACACCCUAAAUGUCUUUGCUGAUUUUAAAGUUAUAAUAAUGCUCCUAGAUAAUGAAAUAAAGAUACCAAAAGAAAAAAGACAACGAAACAAAGAAAGUUUGAGAUCUGUUUAUAUAAGUAAUCUUCAGCUAAAUGAUAGAAUUUUAGGGCAACUAAUCGAAACAAUUUUUACAGACCAACUUUCACCAGCAGCUAUAUACAGAAAGAACAUGACAUGA
Vicia faba (fava bean) is the source of this 309-nucleotide non-coding RNA. The record is from the annotation of a GenBank genome assembly. NCBI's taxonomy places the organism in Eukaryota, Viridiplantae, Streptophyta, Magnoliopsida, Fabales, Fabaceae.